Molecule: ribosomal RNA, 250 nt
Filed under: uncultured bacterium
Lineage: Bacteria
Description: partial 16S ribosomal RNA
Rfam family: Bacterial small subunit ribosomal RNA
Source: RNAcentral
UACGAACCGUCCAAACGUUAUUCGGAAUCACUGGGCUUACAGAGUUCGUAGGCGGCGGAGAAAGUAGGGUGUGAAAGCCCUCGGCUUAACCGAGGAAUAGCGCCCUAAACUACUUCGCUUGAGGAGGCUAGAGGUGAGCAGAACAGAUGGUGGAGCGGUGAAAUGCGUUGAUAUCAUCUGGAAUACCGGAGGCGAAGGCGGCUCACUGGGACCUUUCUGACGCUGAGGAACGAAAGCUAGGGUAGCGAAC